GACGAACGCUGGCGGCGUGCUUAACACAUGCAAGUCGAACGGAAAGGCCCUGCUUUUGUGGGGUGCUCGAGUGGCGAACGGGUGAGUAUCACGUGAGUAACCUGCCCUUUACUUUGGGAUAACUUCAGGAAACUGGGGCUAAUACCGGAUAUGAGCUCCUUCUGCAUGGUGGGGGUUGUAAAGUUUUGGCGGUUGGGGAUGGACACGCGGCUUAUCAGCUUGUUGGUGGGGUAGUGUCUUACCAAGGCUCUGACGGGUAGCCGGCCUGAGAGGGUGACCGGCCACAUUGGGACUGAGAUACGGCCCAGACUCAUACGGGAGGCAGCAGUGGGGAAUAUUGCACAAUGGGCGGAAGCCUGAUGCAGCAACGCCGCGUGCGAGAUGACGGCCUUCGGGUUGUAAACCGCUUUCGCCUGUGACGAAGCGUGAGUGACGGUAAUGGGUAAAGAAGCACCGGCUAACUACGUG
This 468-nucleotide ribosomal RNA is filed under the name uncultured bacterium. RNAcentral's name for it is "partial 16S ribosomal RNA". It matches the Rfam family "Bacterial small subunit ribosomal RNA", at positions 28 to 507 of the family's 1533-position model. The record is from RNAcentral.